CACGCCCUCUGGGGGAAACAGCAUUAGGUCAAUGAUGUUUAGAUAAAUGGAUUUCAAGUGGGCGUCAGUCGGGCUGGGUGACAGAAAGAAAAGGUUGUUACCAGGUUUUGGAACCUGGGACCUCAAACACGGGAACACGCCAACAAAACCACGUGACGCUUUAAUGGGAAAAA
Molecule: long non-coding RNA, 173 nt
Organism: Fundulus heteroclitus (mummichog)
Lineage: Eukaryota; Metazoa; Chordata; Actinopteri; Cyprinodontiformes; Fundulidae
Exons: 2
Source: RefSeq, a predicted model, not a curated record